Brassica rapa (field mustard) is the source of this 463-nucleotide long non-coding RNA. RefSeq lists it as uncharacterized. Lineage: Eukaryota; Viridiplantae; Streptophyta; Magnoliopsida; Brassicales; Brassicaceae. The record is from RefSeq and is a predicted model, not a curated record.
CUAUAACUGAUUUAAUGAGCCAUUCGCAGUUUCACAGCCUGAAUUCGUGCAUACUUACACAUGCAUGGCUUAAUCUUUGAGACAAGCAUAUGACUACUGGCAGGAUCAACCAGGUAGCAUUCAUAAAUCAGGGCAAGACCACGUCAUAUUCCCGCAAACAAAUGGAAAGUGGGAACAGAUGCAGACUUGACCGUCAUCUUUUGUCCGGAGACAAACGUGCUUAGCAGGACAGAAUUUUUUCGAGUCACCACCAUAAUAUUUUCGUAACCGAGAUCUCGGCAAACAGCUUAUUCACCUUUGCGAACAAUGCAUAAAUUAUGCAAAGACGCAAGGAUCACAAGGGCCGGCUUAUGUGUUCAUGAUUUCCCCACUAAAGGAGAUGCCGCAAACAACAUUUUAAGCAAAGCUUAACAAUUCCGUCCAGAUAGGUACGCAACACAGGCCCCGGAUCAGUUCAACAAGC